UACGAAGGGGGCUAGCGUUGUUCGGAAUCACUGGGCGUAAAGGGCGCGUAGGCGGCUCGUUUAGUCGGGUGUGAAAUCCCAAGGCUCAACCUUGGAACUGCAUUCGAUACUGGCGGGCUAGAGACCGGAAGAGGUGGGUGGAAUACCCAGUGUAGAGGUGAAAUUCGUAGAUAUUGGGUGGAACACCGGUGGCGAAGGCGGCUCACUGGUCCGGUUCUGACGCUGAGGCGCGAAAGCGUGGAGAGCAAACAGG
RNAcentral lists this ribosomal RNA (253 nucleotides) under uncultured bacterium. RNAcentral describes it as "partial 16S ribosomal RNA". It matches the Rfam family "Bacterial small subunit ribosomal RNA", at positions 524 to 776 of the family's 1533-position model. The record is from RNAcentral.